UCGGCUUAGAGUUUGAUCAUGGCUCAGGACGAACGCUGGCGGCGUGCCUAAUACAUGCAAGUCGAACGCACCGAAGCUUGCUUUGGUGAGUGGCGGACGGGUGAGUAACACGUGGGUAACCUGCCUAUCAGAGGGGGAUAACACUUGGAAACAGGUGCUAAUACCGCAUAGAUUUUUUUCGCAUGAACGAAGAGGAAAGACGUUCGUGUCACUGAUAGAUGGACCCGCGGUGCAUUAGCUAGAUGGUGAGGUAACGGCUCACCAUGGCCAUGAUGCAUAGCCGACCUGAGAGGGUGAUCGGCCACACUGGGACUGAGACACGGCCCAGACUCCUACGGGAGGCAGCAGUAGGGAAUCUUCGGCAAUGGACGAAAGUCUGACCGAGCAACGCCGCGUGAGUGAAGAAGGUUUUCGGAUCGUAAAACUCUGUUGUUAGAGAAGAACGAGUGGGAGGUAAUUCCUGCUGUGACGGUAUCUAACCAGAAAGCCACGGCUAACUACGUGCCAGCAGCCGCGGUAAUACGUAGUGGCAAGCGUUGUCCGGAUUUAUUGGGCGUAAAGCGAGCGCAGGUUUCUUAAGUCUGAUGUGAAAGCCCCCGCUAACGGGGAGGGUCAUGGAA
This 620-nucleotide ribosomal RNA is filed under the name uncultured Vagococcus sp. RNAcentral's name for it is "bacterial SSU rRNA". It matches the Rfam family "Bacterial small subunit ribosomal RNA", at positions 1 to 631 of the family's 1533-position model. The record is from RNAcentral. Lineage: Bacteria; Bacillati; Bacillota; Bacilli; Lactobacillales; Enterococcaceae.